This 479-nucleotide ribosomal RNA is filed under the name uncultured bacterium. RNAcentral describes it as "partial 16S ribosomal RNA". It matches the Rfam family "Bacterial small subunit ribosomal RNA", at positions 28 to 523 of the family's 1533-position model. The record is from RNAcentral.
GACGAACGCUGGCGGCGUGCUUAACACAUGCAAGUCGAGCGAUGAAGCACCUUCGGGUGUGAAUUAGCGGCGAACGGGUGAGGAACACGUGAAGAAUCUGCCUUCAACUCUGGGAUAACUCCGGGAAACCGGGGCUAAUACCGGAUAUGAGCCUUGAUCGCAUGAUCGGGGCUGGAAAGUUUUUCGGUUGAAGAUGACUUCGCGGCCUAUCAGCUUGUUGGUGAGGUAACGGCUCACCAAGGCGACGACGGGUAGCCGGCCUGAGAGGGCGACCGGCCACACUGGGACUGAGACACGGCCCAGACUCCUACGGGAGGCAGCAGUGGGGAAUAUUGGGCAAUGGAGGAAACUCUGACCCAGCGACGCCGCGUGAGGGAUGAAGGCCUUCGGGUUGUAAACCUCUUUCAGUAGGGAAGAAGCGAAAGUGACGGUACCUACAGAAGAAGCACCGGCUAACUAUGUGCCAGCAGCCGCAGUAA